GAUGAACGCUAGCGACAGGCUUAACACAUGCAAGUCGAGGGGCAGCGGGGGAGUAGCAAUACUCCCGCCGGCGACCGGCGCACGGGUGAGUAACACGUAUGAAACCUGCCCGUAGCAGGGGGAUAAGCGGAAGAAAUUCCGUCUAAUACCGCGUAACAACCCAUGGAGGCAUCUCCGUGGGUUUAAAGGAAGCGAUUCCGGCUACGGAUGGUCAUGCGUCGCAUUAGCUAGUUGGCGGGGUAACGGCCCACCAAGGCGACGAUGCGUAGGGGUUCUGAGAGGAAGGUCCCCCACAUUGGAACUGAGACACGGUCCAA
RNAcentral lists this ribosomal RNA (317 nucleotides) under uncultured bacterium. Its description in RNAcentral is "bacterial SSU rRNA". It matches the Rfam family "Bacterial small subunit ribosomal RNA", at positions 28 to 334 of the family's 1533-position model. The record is from RNAcentral.